UCUGGGAUAACAGCUGGAAACAGCUGCUAAUACCGGAUACGAGACGUGAAGGCAUCUUCAACGUCUGGAAAGAAUUUCGGUCUGGGAUCGGCUCGCGGCCUAUCAGCUAGUUGGUGAGGUAAUGGCUCACCAAGGCGUCGACGGGUAGCCGGCCUGAGAGGGUGACCGGCCACACUGGGACUGAGACACGGCCCAGACUCCUACGGGAGGCAGCAGUGGGGAAUAUUGCACAAUGGGCGAAAGCCUGAUGCAGCAACGCCGCGUGAGGGACGACGGCCUUCGGGUUGUAAACCUCUUUUAGCAGGGAAGAAGCGAAAGUGACGGUACCUGCAGAAAAAGCACCGGCUAACUACGUGCCAGCAGCCGCGGUAAUACGUAGGGUGCAAGCGUUAUCCGGAAUUAUUGGGCGUAAAGAGCUCGUAGGCGGUUUGUCGCGUCUGCUGUGAAAACUGGAGGCUCAACCUCCAGCCUGCAGUGGGUACGGGCAGACUAGAGUGCGGUAGGGGAGAUUGGAAUUCCUGGUGUAGCGGUGGAAUGCGCAGAUAUCAGGAGGAACACCGAUGGCGAAGGCAGAUCUCUGGGCCGUAACUGACGCUGAGGAGCGAAAGGGUGGGGAGCAAACAGGCUUAGAUACCCUGGUAGUCCACCCCGUAAA
This 655-nucleotide ribosomal RNA is filed under the name Microbacterium sp. RNAcentral's name for it is "bacterial SSU rRNA". It matches the Rfam family "Bacterial small subunit ribosomal RNA", at positions 137 to 806 of the family's 1533-position model. Lineage: Bacteria; Bacillati; Actinomycetota; Actinomycetes; Micrococcales; Microbacteriaceae. The record is from RNAcentral.